UUCCAGCUCCAAUAGCGUAUAUUAAAGUUGUUGCGGUUAAAAAGCUCGUAGUCGAAUCUGUGUCCCGCGCCGCCGGUUCAUCGUCCGCGGUGUUAACUGGCGUGCCGCGGGACGUCCUGCCGGUGGGCUUAGCUCGCAAGGGCGGCCCAACUCAAUCCCGCCGCGGUGCUCUUCACUGAGUGUCGAGGUGGGCCGGCACGUUUACUUUGAACAAAUUAGAGUGCUUAAAGCAGGCUAAAACUUCGCCUGAAUACUGUGUGCAUGGAAUAAUGGAAUAGGACCUCGGUUCUAUUUUGUUGGUUUUCGGAACCCCGAGGUAAUGAUUAAUAGGAACGGAUGG
Molecule: ribosomal RNA, 340 nt
Filed under: Purpuricenus temminckii
Lineage: Eukaryota; Metazoa; Arthropoda; Insecta; Coleoptera; Cerambycidae
Also listed under: 16 other names
Description: SSU rRNA
Rfam family: Eukaryotic small subunit ribosomal RNA
Source: RNAcentral